UGCAGUCGAGCGGUAGCACAGAGAGCUUGCUCUCGGGUGACGAGCGGCGGACGGGUGAGUAAUGUCUGGGAAACUGCCUGAUGGAGGGGGAUAACUACUGGAAACGGUAGCUAAUACCGCAUAACGUCGCAAGACCAAAGUGGGGGACCUUCGGGCCUCAUGCCAUCAGAUGUGCCCAGAUGGGAUUAGCUAGUAGGUGGGGUAACGGCUCACCUAGGCGACGAUCCCUAGCUGGUCUGAGAGGAUGACCAGCCACACUGGAACUGAGACACGGUCCAGACUCCUACGGGAGGCAGCAGUGGGGAAUAUUGCACAAUGGGCGCAAGCCUGAUGCAGCCAUGCCGCGUGUGUGAAGAAGGCCUUCGGGUUGUAAAGCACUUUCAGCGGGGAGGAAGGCGUUAAGGUUAAUAACCUUGGCGAUUGACGUUACCCGCAGAAGAAGCACCGGCUAACUCCGUGCCAGCAGCCGCGGUAAUACGGAGGGUGCAAGCGUUAAUCGGAAUUACUGGGCGUAAAGCGCACGCAGGCGGUCUGUCAAGUCGGAUGUGAAAUCCCCGGGCUCAACCUGGGAACUGCAUUCGAAACUGGCAGGCUAGAGUCUUGUAGAGGGGGGUAGAAUUCCAGGUGUAGCGGUGAAAUGCGUAGAGAUCUGGAGGAAUACCGGUGGCGAAGGCGGCCCCCUGGACAAAGACUGACGCUCAGGUGCGAAAGCGUGGGGAGCAAACAGGAUUAGAUACCCUGGUAGUCCACGCCGUAAACGAUGUCGAUUUGGAGGUUGUGCCCUUGAGGCGUGGCUUCCGGAGCUAACGCGUUAAAUCGACCGCCUGGGGAGUACGGCCGCAAGGUUAAAACUCAAAUGAAUUGACGGGGGCCCGCACAAGCGGUGGAGCAUGUGGUUUAAUUCGAUGCAACGCGAAGAACCUUACCUGGUCUUGACAUCCACAGAACUUAGCAGAGAUGCUUUGGUGCCUUCGGGAACUGUGAGACAGGUGCUGCAUGGCUGUCGUCAGCUCGUGUUGUGAAAUGUUGGGUUAAGUCCCGCAACGAGCGCAACCCUUAUCCUUUGUUGCCAGCGGUUAGGCCGGGAACUCAAAGGAGACUGCCAGUGAUAAACUGGAGGAAGGUGGGGAUGACGUCAAGUCAUCAUGGCCCUUACGACCAGGGCUACACACGUGCUACAAUGGCAUAUACAAAGAGAAGCGACCUCGCGAGAGCAAGCGGACCUCAUAAAGUAUGUCGUAGUCCGGAUUGGAGUCUGCAACUCGACUCCAUGAAGUCGGAAUCGCUAGUAAUCGUAGAUCAGAAUGCUACGGUGAAUACGUUCCCGGGCCUUGUACACACCGCCCGUCACACCAUGGGAGUGGGUUGCAAAAGAAGUAGGUAGCUUAACCUUCGGGAGGGCGCUACC
This 1408-nucleotide ribosomal RNA is filed under the name Klebsiella pneumoniae subsp. ozaenae. RNAcentral describes it as "bacterial SSU rRNA". It matches the Rfam family "Bacterial small subunit ribosomal RNA". The record is from RNAcentral. Lineage: Bacteria; Pseudomonadati; Pseudomonadota; Gammaproteobacteria; Enterobacterales; Enterobacteriaceae.